Molecule: ribosomal RNA, 292 nt
Filed under: uncultured bacterium
Lineage: Bacteria
Description: partial 16S ribosomal RNA
Rfam family: Bacterial small subunit ribosomal RNA
Source: RNAcentral
GUGUCAGCAGCCGCGGUAAUACAGAGGGUGCGAGCGUUGUUCGGAAUUAUUGGGCGUAAAGCGCAUGUAGGCGGGUUGUUAAGUCGCGUGUGAAAGCCCCAGGCUCAACCUGGGAAGUGCGCGCGAAACUGGCGACCUUGAGUGCUGGAGAGGGUGGCGGAAUUCCCGGUGUAGAGGUGAAAUUCGUAGAUAUCGGGAGGAACACCAGAGGCGAAGGCGGCCACCUGGACAGACACUGACGCUGAGACGCGAAAGCGUGGGGAGCAAACAGGAUUAGAAACCCUCGUAGUCC